Long non-coding RNA from Alnus glutinosa, 1198 nucleotides. RefSeq lists it as uncharacterized. Lineage: Eukaryota; Viridiplantae; Streptophyta; Magnoliopsida; Fagales; Betulaceae. The transcript has 3 exons. The record is from RefSeq and is a predicted model, not a curated record.
GAUCUUCCCCUUCUCUUCUUCUUUUCUUCUCCCUUCUUCCUCCCUCUCUCGCUUCUGUCACGCGCAGCACCCUACUCCUCUCUUUCUUCCUUUUCUUUUCCUCCUUCCUUCUCUUUUCUUCUUCUCCAGCAACGCAGCCCCCCCCCCCCCCCCCGCCCCGUUCCACACGCAGCCCGACCCCUUCCACUGCAGUUCUCCUUCUCUUCUUCCGAUUUCACAGCACGAUCUCCCCCUCCCCUCUUCCAUCAUCUUCUCCUCUUCCUCUCCUCGCACCAGCAGCCCUUCCCCUUCUUCCCUUCCUUUCCGUCGCAUUCAGAGGGACCAAGAGAGAGACUUUGGGGUCCGUUUUUCCGGUGGGUCGUCGGUGAAGCAAAUAGGCACGAUUUUCGGUGAUUUUCUAGCGAUCUAGAGCUGACUUCCGGCAAAAUCAAAGGACGAUUUUCAAUGGGGUCGACGAAGGGUUGUGUUAUAAUUGGAGACUUUAAUGGGUUCUUCAAUGUAGAGUUGGAGUCGUGAGUCCAAUGCAGCCAGGUUUUAAAUAAAGAUGUAAUUAAUUUCAUUGAUUUUGGGCUUAAAGCACCCUUUGAGAAGACCUAGAAGAUGUGGUUAAGUUUAAUCAAAUCAAGGGAAUGAUUAAAUCAAAAUUUCUCCAAUAAGAGUCAAAAUCGGAUUAAGAUUCAAAUUCGGAUUCUGUACAUGCCUCAGUAUUUUGAUCAUAACUUUCUGAUUAGAUCUCAUAUUGUAAUGAAAUUGGUGGCGUUAAAAAUCUAAUAAAAAAUUCAACAAAUAUGAAAGAAAUAGUUUUUUCCUAAUUCAGACGAUUUCUAUGCCAAAAUCGUCUCGCAAUAAAAGACCGUAAAUCUAGACGAAUUUGAAAUCAUUUUCCUACUUGAAUUGAAUUUUCAAUAUUUUAUUUAGAUUAAGAGAUUAAGUUCUGAUUUUUCUUGGAUUCCUAAGGCUUUUAGGCCUUCCCUAAUCUCUAUAAAUAGACCCUUAAGUUUCAAGAGAAGGUGUGCUUAGCUUUAAACAGAAAAUUCUUCUUGGAGGCUUGACAAGUUGAAGAGGAGAAGAACAUGGCAAGAGGCCAUACUAGCACUACGAUGAGCGGUUAAAUUCGUAAUAGGGUGUUGAUGUAGCCCUUUUCAAGUAACAAUGGUUUAAUUGUAUUUUAAUUUAGGAUUUUCUAUAUGGAUGAUGA